RNAcentral lists this transfer RNA (88 nucleotides) under Planctomycetota bacterium. RNAcentral describes it as "tRNA-Leu". It matches the Rfam family "tRNA". Rfam says of the family: Transfer RNA (tRNA) molecules are approximately 80 nucleotides in length. Their secondary structure includes four short double-helical elements and three loops (D, anti-codon, and T loops). Lineage: Bacteria; Pseudomonadati; Planctomycetota. The record is from RNAcentral.
GGGGGCGUGGCGGAACAGGCAGACGCAAGGGACUUAAAAUCCCUCGACCAUCACGGUCAUCCGGGUUCGAGCCCCGGCGCCCCCACCA